This 514-nucleotide long non-coding RNA is filed under the name Olea europaea subsp. europaea. Lineage: Eukaryota; Viridiplantae; Streptophyta; Magnoliopsida; Lamiales; Oleaceae. The record is from RNAcentral.
GGCUUGGUAUCAUGAGCUCAGACAAUUUCUUGUAGCCUCUGGGUUUACAAACUCUCAUGUGGACACAUCACUCUUUGUCUUCAACACCAGCGGUAAUCAAGUCUAUCUCUUUGUAUAUGUUGAUGACAUAAUUAUUACUGGAAGUAAUGCCACUGCAGUUCAACAGUUUAUUGAUCUUCUUGGCAAAAGAUUUUCCAUCAAAUAUCUUGGUGACUUGACUUACUUCCUUGGUAUUGAAGUUGCCACUACUUCCACUAGUUUACUUCUCUCUUAGCAGAAAUAUAUCAAAGAUCUUUUCGCUCGCACAAAUAUGACAGGUUCCAAAUCUGUCACCACUCCACUUACCACCGAGCCAACACUUACAAUUCUUUCCGACACUGCUUUGAUAGAUCCUUCUGAAUACAGGACAGUUGUUGGAAGUCUCCAAUAUUUGUGCCUCACUCGCCUUGAUAUUGCAUAUGCUGUUAAUAAGUUGUCUCAAUUCAUGCAUCGACCUACUAUUGAUCAUUGGAAU